AGUGAACGCUGGCGGUAGGCCUAACACAUGCAAGUCGAACGGCAGCACAGUAAGAGCUUGCUCUUACGGGUGGCGAGUGGCGGACGGGUGAGGAAUACAUCGGAAUCUACUUUUUCUUGGGGGAUAACGUAGGGAAACUGACGCUAAUACCUCAUACGACCUACGGGUGAAAGCAGGGGAUCUUCGGACCUUGCGCGAUUGAUUGAGCCGAUGUCGGAUUAGCUAGUUGGCGGGGUAAAGGCCCACCAAGGCGACGAUCCGUAGCUGGGCUGAGAGGAUGAUCAGCCACACUGGAACUGAGACACGGUCCAGACUCCUACGGGAGGCAGCAGUGGGGAAUAUUGGACAAUGGGCGCAAGCCUGAUCCAGCCACACCGCGUGGGUGAAGAAGGCCUUCGGGUUGUAAAGCCCUUUUGUUGGGAAAGAAAAGAAGCAGGUUAAUACCCCGCUGUUCUGACGGUACCCAAAGAAUAAGCACCGGCUAACUUCGUG
RNAcentral lists this ribosomal RNA (492 nucleotides) under uncultured bacterium. Its description in RNAcentral is "partial 16S ribosomal RNA". It matches the Rfam family "Bacterial small subunit ribosomal RNA", at positions 29 to 507 of the family's 1533-position model. The record is from RNAcentral.